GGAUCAGAUCUAAGGGUGUUAAGAAUGCAGAAUCGAUAGAUCGGAGAAGAAGAUUAUACCAUUGUUGUGGAAUUGAGAUUGAACUAGCCUCUGUAGAGAUCAAUCGUCGGAGAUCGGAAACUGAAUUCUCCGAUGAGGUCAGUGAAUGGGGAGAAAAGUGUUUUUUGGUUUGAGAGAUCAGAGUGUAAAUACAAUGGGGAAGGUGAUGAAAGAUUUGUAGUUAAAGUGAGAUUACUAAAAUGCCACUGGAUCUAUAAUCGUGUGGGGUAAUGUUCAUACGUAGAUCUGUGACUGUGAUGGAUCCAACGAAAGUUGUCU
This 318-nucleotide long non-coding RNA is filed under the name Trifolium pratense (red clover). RNAcentral's name for it is "long non-coding RNA (TPRA_LNC006922)". The record is from RNAcentral. Lineage: Eukaryota; Viridiplantae; Streptophyta; Magnoliopsida; Fabales; Fabaceae.